GAUGAACGCUGGCGGCGUGCCUAAUACAUGCAAGUCGAGCGAACAGACGAGGAGCUUGCUCCUCUGACGUUAGCGGCGGACGGGUGAGUAACACGUGGAUAACCUACCUAUAAGACUGGGAUAACUUCGGGAAACCGGAGCUAAUACCGGAUAAUAUAUUGAACCGCAUGGUUCAAUAGUGAAAGACGGUUUUGCUGUCACUUAUAGAUGGAUCCGCGCCGCAUUAGCUAGUUUGUAAGGUAACGGCUUACCAAGGCGACGAUGCGUAGCCGACCUGAGAGGGUGAUCGGCCACACUGGAACUGAGACACGGUCCAGACUCCUACGGGAGGCAGCAGUAGGGAAUCUUCCGCAAAGGGCGAAAGCCUGACGGAGCAACGCCGCGUGAGUGAUGAAGGUCUUCGGAUCGUAAAACUCUGUUAUUAGGGAAGAACAAAUGUGUAAGUAACUAUGCACGUCUUGACGGUACCUAAUCAGAAAGCCACGGCUAACUACGUG
RNAcentral lists this ribosomal RNA (497 nucleotides) under uncultured bacterium. RNAcentral's name for it is "partial 16S ribosomal RNA". It matches the Rfam family "Bacterial small subunit ribosomal RNA", at positions 28 to 507 of the family's 1533-position model. The record is from RNAcentral.